This is a long non-coding RNA of Gambusia affinis (western mosquitofish), 532 nucleotides long. RefSeq lists it as uncharacterized. NCBI's taxonomy places the organism in Eukaryota, Metazoa, Chordata, Actinopteri, Cyprinodontiformes, Poeciliidae. The record is from RefSeq and is a predicted model, not a curated record. The transcript is spliced from 3 exons.
GGCAAUUUGGCCCUUUAAAAUAAAGCGUGUAGGACAAGGGACAGAUCUAGACGUUGCAAAAACUGGCCCUGGAGGACUGCAGUUUGAGACUGCUGAUCUAGAAGGCAAAGAAGCGGACAUCUCAUUGAUCAACACUGGCACUCUGCUGCAGUUUUCUGUGCUCGCUGCGUGGAUUAAAUGAAAUCAAAACAAACGCAGUCGACGGGGCUGCGCAGGAUACUUCCCCGUCCCCGGACUUCAGGGCCGAACAGCGGACGGCGACCAGCCUGUGAGCCGAGAGAGAGAGAGAGUAGCAGACUGGGACUGUUUCUUUUCCCUCCCGGACGUUUGAAAAGAGGAGAGAGAGGCAGAGAGAAAGUGUAGUCUGCCCCCCCUUUGACUGCACAGACACGCUUACAGAUAAGAGGAAAUACAGCGACAUCUACCGACCGGGGUAAGAGACUGCUCUCAUUUACAGUCUCUGUCCCCUCAGUGAUGCCGUCCAGGUGGGGCUCACACCGGCAGUUUCUUAGUUUUGGGGACAACUUUAACA